GGAGUCUAGCAUGUGCGCAAGUCAUUGGGCAUUACUAAACCCAAAGGCGAAGUGAAAGCAAAGCCUGUGCCUGAGUGCAGGUUAGGUGUGAUCUGGAUGCCACCCAGUGGUCCCGGCGCAACACCGGCCCGUCCUUAACUGUCUUGCAGUGGGGCGGAGCAAGAGCGCACAUGCUGAAACCCGAAAGAUGGUGAACUAUGCUUGGGCAGGCUGAAGCCAGAGGAAACUCUGGUGGAGGGCCGUAGCGAUUCUGACGUGCAAAUCGAUCGUCAGACCUGAGUAUAGGGGCGAAAGACUAAUCGAACCAUCUAGUAGCUGGUUCCCUCCGAAGUUUCCCUCAGGAUAGCUGACACGCAUGGUUAAAGUUUCAUCCGGUAAAGCGAAUGAUUAGAGGUAUUGGGGAUGAAAUGUCCUCAACCUAUUCUCAAACUUUAAAUGGGUGAGAUGGCCGUCUCUCUUGAUUGGAGUCGGUCGUCAGAAUGUGUGUGUUUAGUGGGCCAAUUUUGGUAAGCAGAACUGGCGCUGUGGGAUGAACCAAACGUUCGGUUAAGGUGCCUAAAAAAUCGCUCAUGAGACACCACAAAAGGUGUUGGUUGAUAUAGACAGCAGGACGGUGGCCAUGGAAGUUGGAAUCCCCUAAGGAGUGUUUAACCACUCACCUUCCGGAUCCACCAACCCUGGAAAUGGAUGGCCCCUGAACGAAUUACCCAAACCGGACCCUUACUGUAGUGUGUUAUGGGAUGCAGUCAGGAGUAAGAGGGUCGACGUGGUGAGCGUUGAAGCUUGGUCCGUGAGGGCCGGUGGAGCCGCCACGUGUGCAGAUCUUGGUGGUAGUA
This 836-nucleotide ribosomal RNA is filed under the name Duplominona sp. 71863. RNAcentral's name for it is "eukaryotic LSU rRNA". It matches the Rfam family "Eukaryotic large subunit ribosomal RNA", at positions 670 to 1462 of the family's 3401-position model. Lineage: Eukaryota; Metazoa; Platyhelminthes; Proseriata; Monocelididae. The record is from RNAcentral.